This 797-nucleotide ribosomal RNA is filed under the name Escherichia coli. RNAcentral's name for it is "partial 23S ribosomal RNA". It matches the Rfam family "Bacterial large subunit ribosomal RNA", at positions 717 to 1516 of the family's 2925-position model. Lineage: Bacteria; Pseudomonadati; Pseudomonadota; Gammaproteobacteria; Enterobacterales; Enterobacteriaceae. The record is from RNAcentral.
GAAACCCGGUGAUCUAGCCAUGGGCAGGUUGAAGGUUGGGUAACACUAACUGGAGGACCGAACCGACUAAUGUUGAAAAAUUAGCGGAUGACUUGUGGCUGGGGGUGAAAGGCCAAUCAAACCGGGAGAUAGCUGGUUCUCCCCGAAAGCUAUUUAGGUAGCGCCUCGUGAAUUCAUCUCCGGGGGUAGAGCACUGUUUCGGCAAGGGGGUCAUCCCGACUUACCAACCCGAUGCAAACUGCGAAUACCGGAGAAUGUUAUCACGGGAGACACACGGCGGGUGCUAACGUCCGUCGUGAAGAGGGAAACAACCCAGACCGCCAGCUAAGGUCCCAAAGUCAUGGUUAAGUGGGAAACGAUGUGGGAAGGCCCAGACAGCCAGGAUGUUGGCUUAGAAGCAGCCAUCAUUUAAAGAAAGCGUAAUAGCUCACUGGUCGAGUCGGCCUGCGCGGAAGAUGUAACGGGGCUAAACCAUGCACCGAAGCUGCGGCAGCGACACUAUGUGUUGUUGGGUAGGGGAGCGUUCUGUAAGCCUGUGAAGGUGGCCUGUGAGGGUUGCUGGAGGUAUCAGAAGUGCGAAUGCUGACAUAAGUAACGAUAAAGCGGGUGAAAAGCCCGCUCGCCGGAAGACCAAGGGUUCCUGUCCAACGUUAAUCGGGGCAGGGUGAGUCGACCCCUAAGGCGAGGCCGAAAGGCGUAGUCGAUGGGAAACAGGUUAAUAUUCCUGUACUUGGUGUUACUGCGAAGGGGGGACGGAGAAGGCUAUGUUGGCCGGGCGACGGUUGUCCCGGUUUAAG